RNAcentral lists this ribosomal RNA (1572 nucleotides) under human gut metagenome. RNAcentral describes it as "bacterial LSU rRNA". It matches the Rfam family "Bacterial large subunit ribosomal RNA", at positions 414 to 1983 of the family's 2925-position model. The record is from RNAcentral.
AGCGCGGAGCACGAGGAAUUCUGCGUGAAUCUGCCGGGACCAUCCGGUAAGGCUAAAUACUCCCGAGAGACCGAUAGCGAACCAGUACCGUGAGGGAAAGGUGAAAAGCACUUCGAACAGAAGAGUGAAAUAGUUCCUGAAACCGUGCGCCUACAAGCGGUCGGAGCUCGUUAAUGAGUGACGGCGUGCCUUUUGCAUAAUGAACCUACGAGUUGCCUUUGCCGGCAAGGUUAAGUGUGACGACACACGUAUCCGAAGCGAAAGCGAGUCUGAACAGGGCGUAUAGUCGGCAGUGGCAGACGCGAAACCAAGUGAUCUACCCUUGGCCAGGUUGAAGGCUGGGUAACACCAGCUGGAGGACCGCACCAAUAAGCGUUGAAAAGCUUCUGGAUGAGCUGAGGGUAGGGGUGAAAGGCUAAUCAAACUUGGAGAUAGCUCGUACUCCCCGAAAUGCAUUUAGGUGCAGCCUUGCGGGUUACUGAUGUGAGGUAGAGCGACUGAUUGGAUGCGAGGGCUUCACCGCCUAUCAAGUCCUGACAAACUCCGAAUGCGCAUCAGUUCUACCGCAGGAGUGAGGGCAUGGGUGCUAAGGUCCGUGCCCGAGAGGAGAAGAAUCCGGACCACCGGCUAAGGUCCCGAAAUGACAGCUAAGUUAAACUAACGAAGUCUGAUUGCUAAGACAGCUAGGAUGUUGGCUUGGAAGCAGCCAUUCAUUUAAAGAGUGCGUAACAGCUCACUAGUCGAGGAGUCGGGCGUGGAUAAUAAUCGGGUAUCAAGUUGUCUACCGAAGCAGUGGGAUCAUUUAUAUGAUCGGUAGGGGAGCAUUCCAGUCAGCGUCGAAGGCGUACCGUGAGGUAUUCUGGAGCGUCUGGAAAAGCAAAUGUAGGUAUAAGUAACGAUAAAGGGGGCGGGAAACCCCCUCGCCGAAAGACUAAGGUUUCCUGAUCAACGCUAAUCGGAUCAGGGUCAGUCGGGUCCUAAGGCUCAGCCGAACGGCGAUGCCGAUGGCAGAAACGGUUAAUAUUCCGUUACUACCUUCAGGAGUGACGUGGAGACGCAGUAGUGACAGUGCCGCCAUCUGACGGAAUAGAUGGUUGAAGGGUGUAGGAGUCGAUCAUGGCAGGCAAAUCCACCAUGAGAUCCGAACCUGACAGUAUGCCGCGUCCUUCGGGACAAGGCAAUAGUGCGCGUAAGCAUGCUGCCGAGAAAAUCCGCUAAACUUAAUCCUGUAGGUACCCGUACCGCAAACGGACACACGUAGUCGGGAUGAAUAUUCUAAGGCGCUUGAGUGAUUCACGGUUAAGGAACUAGGCAAACUGACCCUGUAACUUCGGGAUAAAGGGUCCCUACCCUUUUAUGGGAGGGCGCAGAGAAUCGGUCCAGGCAACUGUUUAACAAAAACACAGGGCUGUGCCAAAUCGAAAGAUCCAGUAUACAGCCUGACACCUGCCCGGUGCUGGAAGGUUAAGAGGAGAUGUCAUCGAUAAGAGAAGCGUUGAAUUGAAGCCCCAGUAAACGGCGGCCGUAACUAUAACGGUCCUAAGGUAGCGAAAUUCCUUGUCGGGUAAGUUC